AUGGAUUCAAGAGCUUACAUCCUCAGAGCCAGCAUUGCACAUCUUUGCCUCUUGAUCCUAAUUUUCCACUCUUUUUCCUCUCUCUGGUGCAAUAAAACAUGGAAGAAGGUUUAAUUAGUAGAAGCUCCUCCAUCAAAUCAUGGAAGAAACUAGAAUCUCAAAAUAGGUUAAACAAAUUUUCAUCAUUUGAAUACUUAGACACUGAUUCAUAUGGUUCUCCAUCUUCUCAGCCAUUACCACCUUUCAAUACACUUGCACCACAACCUUAUUCCUCUUUUCCAAACCCACCACCAAGUCCAAAAACCAUUAUUACAAUUUCACCACCACCAACACCACCUCCAAGCCCACCAAAACAUGUUCCAAGCCCACCUAAAACUCUUAUAACCCCCAACCUAUGACUUAUCACCACCACCACCCUCACCUCAUAAAAAACUCACCACCACACUAUGCUAUUUGGUGUGUUGCAAAGCCAACAGUUCCUGAUCCUAUAAUACAAUUUGCUAUGGACUAUGCAUGUGGGUCUGGGGCAGAUUGCAAAUCAUCAGCCCAAUGGUUAUGCUUUCAGCCCAACACUUUGUUGGCCCAUGCUUCUUUUGCUUUCAAUAGCUAUUGGCAGAACACUAAGAUUGGUGGGGGCACUUGUGAUUUGGUGGUACUGCUAUGCUUGUCAACGUUGAUCCAAGUAAGUUUCUGCUACCAUCUUUAUACACCGUUACG
This is a non-coding RNA of Vicia faba (fava bean), 717 nucleotides long. The record is from the annotation of a GenBank genome assembly. NCBI's taxonomy places the organism in Eukaryota, Viridiplantae, Streptophyta, Magnoliopsida, Fabales, Fabaceae.